RNAcentral lists this ribosomal RNA (442 nucleotides) under uncultured bacterium. RNAcentral's name for it is "partial 16S ribosomal RNA". It matches the Rfam family "Bacterial small subunit ribosomal RNA", at positions 338 to 795 of the family's 1533-position model. The record is from RNAcentral.
CCUACGGGGAGCAGCAGUGGGGGAUAUUGCACAAUGGGGGAAACCCUGAUGCAGCGACGCCGCGUGGGCGAAGAAGUAUUUCGGUAUGUAAAGCCCUAUCAGCAGGGAAGAAGAAAUGACGGUACCUGAGUAAGAAGCACCGGCUAAAUACGUGACAGCAGCCGCGGUAAUACGUAUGGUGCAAGCGUUAUCCGGAUUUACUGGGUGGAAAGGGAGCGCAGGCGGCACGGCCAGCCUGAUGUGAAAGCCCGCGGCCCAACCGCGGGACUGCAUUGGGAACUACCGGGCGGGAGUGCCGGAGAGGUAGGCGGAAUGCCUAGUGUAGCGGUGAAAUGCGUAGAUAUUAGGAGGAACACCAGUGGCGAAGGCGGCCUACUGGACGGUGACUGACGCUGAGGCUCGAAAGCGUGGGGAGCAAACAGGAUUAGAUACCCGAGUAGUC